Molecule: ribosomal RNA, 805 nt
Filed under: Pristimantis nelsongalloi
Lineage: Eukaryota; Metazoa; Chordata; Amphibia; Anura; Strabomantidae
Description: partial large subunit ribosomal RNA
Rfam family: Bacterial large subunit ribosomal RNA
Source: RNAcentral
UCAACCCCUUUCACCCUACUGAGAACUUCUAUAACAUUAUAGAACCUUUAAUGUUAAAACUAGUAACAAGAGAUACACCCUCUCUAUAAUGCAAACUCAAACCAGCAAGAACCUAUCACUGGUGAUUAACAGAAACAAAGUAGUAACUUUCUCAAGAAAACUCUACCCCCUCAACUGUUAACCUAACACAAGAGCAUCCCAAGAAAGAUUUAAAGAAAAAGAAGGAACUCGGCAAACAUAAAUCUCGCCUGUUUACCAAAAACAUCGCCUCUUGUCACCUAUAAGAGGUCCAGCCUGCCCAGUGACUCUUGUUCAACGGCCGCGGUAUCCUAACCGUGCGAAGGUAGCGUAAUCACUUGUCUUUUAAAUAAAGACUAGUAUGAAAGGCACCACGAAGAUUAAACUGUCUCCUCUCUCCAAUCAGUGAACCUAAUCUCCCCGUGAAAAAGCGGGAAUUUUUAUAUAAGACGAGAAGACCCUAUGGAGCUUAAAACAUCAUAACACUGCACCUCCACAUUAUUAACCCCACAGCACACUGAUUAUAUGUUUUCGGUUGGGGUGACCGCGGAGAAAAACCCAUCCCCCGCGAUGAUGGGGAACCCCCCCCCCCACAAUAAGUCACAACUUUACGUAUCAACAAAUUGACAUUAUUGACCCAAUAUAUUGAUUAACGAACCAAGUUACCCUAGGGAUAACAGCGCAAUCCACUUUGAGAGCCCCUAUCGACAAGUGGGCUUACGACCUCGAUGUUGGAUCGGGAUACCCAAGUGGUGCAGCCGCUACUAAAGGUUCGUUUGUUCAACGA